Conger conger (European conger) is the source of this 3999-nucleotide long non-coding RNA. RefSeq lists it as uncharacterized. Lineage: Eukaryota; Metazoa; Chordata; Actinopteri; Anguilliformes; Congridae. The record is from RefSeq and is a predicted model, not a curated record. The transcript has 3 exons.
AAAUAAGUUUUUAAAAAUCAGUGCAUCUGAACUAAUAUAUUUUGACAGCUCAAAUUUGCAGACCUCAUACCUCUGAACUGUCCCCCAGGGUUUGGUCAUUGGUCCUCUACUUUUUGUCCUCUAUACCACUCCUCUUGGUUCUGUCACCUCCUCCCAUGGCCCGCCUGGCCUGUCUAUGCAGAUGACACAAGUCUUCCUCUUCUUCCUCCCAUGUAAUACACUGGGCUCAGUGUCUAUAGGAGCUUGUCUACAAGACGUCUUGAGUCGGAUGUCAAAAUCUCACCAGAAGCUGAAGUUGGCUAAAAUAUAAUAAUUUAAAAACCUCCUUUCAGCCAGCUGGAUUGACACCGUUUGACACCGUUUGACACUCUUCAUCUGCUGGAAAGUGAUACAGGAGAACAAACUGUCCCAUUCUGAGAUCAGCAAAGCAGUGUGCAGGCAUGCAGAUUCUUCCUGUACAACAUCCGGAGAAUGUGUUUCCUUUCCUCACCACCUACACAACCCAGCUCUUAGCCCAGGGCCAGAUGCUUUUACUCCAGCCUCUUUCCGUUGCUGUUUGUUUCAGUUCUCACAAUGUGUCUGUCAUCAACUGCUGUUGUUUUCCUUGGUCGACCUGUACACCCGUGGAUUCUUUAUUUUUCAUGACAUUCCAUGUUGUCGUAUAAGCUAUCCCCAAUGCUUGUGCAAUGGCUCUGAUAGAUUUCCCCUCUUUCCUAAGCUUCAAAAUGGCUUAACAGGAAAAACCUAAGACUAAAACCAAGAGUAGACAUUCAUAACUAUUUAUUGUUCAAUCAGUCAAUCUAACAGGACACAUCUGGGCAACAAGAAACACCUGUCAGUCACAUGUUCCAAUACUUUUGCUCACCUAAAAAUUGGGCGGUCUGAUACAAAAAGUGAGAUGUUUUAAGUUGUUUAACAAAUCUAGAUAAAAAUACCAGGAAAUAAAAGCUGACAUUUGUACCGGUCAUCUCAUCUUUUGACUCAAUUGUCGUCAGUACAUAGCAAAAACUUUGUAAAAACAAAGACCUUUUGGAGGAGACUCUAUAUAGUUAUGUAUACAGCAUAGUUCAACGUUAAAUAUGCACCCUAUAGUCUAUGUUAUGAAAAUAAACAGUGCAAUUUUGGAUCACAAUACAUUUUAUAGAGAACCAUGAUAGGUUUGAGCCUUUUAGUUUAGAUUUAUCAUUGUUAUGAUCGUGGAUUCUGUCUGUUAGUUUAUUUUGUAUUUUUGUAAAUUUAUUAUUUUUCUUAUUCUGGUUUUCUAUUUACAUUCACAGUUUAUUGCACUCAUCUUCCCCUGUGAUGUCUGUGUCUCCAUGUAGCUCUCAGCUACCCUGUCUGCGUGAUUCACUAUUUGGGCGUUUUCUGAAUUUUCCAGUUUCCCACUAUUCCUUCUCAGUCACGCUUUGGCAAGCACUUCCUGCUUUCUCUCCAUUCAUGUUUGUAGAUAGCACUAAUCUACUAAUAACAACUAACAUAUAUUUUGAGCAGUACUAAUUAUAUUAACACACUAAUUGUCUAACUAAUUAACAGUCACUAGUUUUGGGUAAUUAUAAUUUAAUCACGUAAACUAACAGACUAUUACAGUGAGUGUAAAUCCCAGGAGAUCAGCACUUUCUGAGAUACUCAAAUCAUCCUCUCUGUGGCGUAGUGGUUAAGGUAAAUGACUGGGAUCUGCAAGGUCGAUGGUUCUAAUCCCGGUGUAACCACAAUAAGAUCCGCACAGCCGUUGGGCCCUUGAUCAAGGCCCUUAACCCUGCAUUGCUCCAGGGGAGGAUUGUCACCUGCUUAGUCUAAUCAAUUGUAUGUUGCUCUAGAUAAGAGCGUCUGCCAAAUGCCAAUAAUGUAAUGUAAUAGCAUUCCAUGGUCAAAGUCACUUAGAUCACAUUUUUUCCCCAUUCUGAUGGUUGAUGUGAACAUUAACUGAAGCUCCUGACCUAUAUCCUGACCCUGACCCGUAUCUACCCGUAUCAAACAGCAGGGGGAAUCAGGCACAAGGCAGGGCAAACAGCAGGGGGAAUCAGGCACAAGGCAGGGCAAACAGCAGGGGGGAUCAGGCACAAGGCAGGGCAAACAGCAGGGGGAAUCAGGCACAAGGCAGGGCAAACAGCAGGGGGAAUCAGGCACAAGGCAGGGCAAACAGCAGGGGGAAUCAGGCACAAGGCAGGGAAAACAGCAGGGGGAAUUAGGGAAGAUGCUCCAGUGAUCUUACGACCCAUUGUGAUGAUUUUGUUUAUUUGAUUUUUGUUUUAGAGAGAGAGGCCAGCCCCCCAAUACUGUAUAUUACAUUAAUGGCAUUUAUAUACAAUGGUAUAUACAACAUGAAGAUACUUUGAAUGAAGGUUUUUAUUUAAAAAAAGAGAGCAUGGUUUUAUCACAUUUAAAUUUCCUCAGUAGUGUAGGGGAAUCUCGCACGGGACUCCAAAUUAUGUUGGGUCCUCGCACGGGCCGCCAAAUAACGCAGGGAUUUUACUCUCUACGAAACCGGGGCGCCAGUUAAACGUUGUGUUGCAGUAUAACUGCGAAAAGUAAUCAGUCUCAUAAAAUUACUGUUAUCAGAAAUAUCCAACCACAAAUAUAGUAUUUUAAUUAAUUAAAAUAACCAAUAUUAAUGAUUGAACAUACCGAUAACCUGAAGGUUGGAAGUUCUUCGAAAGACUGCUUUAACUCGGCUCUCAUGUCUAUGCGAUUCCAAAACGGACACCGGGGUUUAAUAAAAUAUAUUUAUUAAACAAACAUACAAACACAUAACAGAUAAACUAACGGGAAGUUAGUAAGGAAAUUUAGUAGGUUAAGUUAGGGCGUGUAUGUGUGUGUGGGCGCGCGCGAGCGCGCGUGUCGCUUGAAGGAAAGGUAAGGUAAAAGUCGGAGUAGCUAGCUUGAGUAAGCUAGAGUUCUGGGUGUGGUAAUGAGUUAGAGUUAGCUUGCGUAGUUUUACUCUAUGCAUGCGCAAAAGACGGCGAAUCAAUUCAGGUACAUAUAUAUGUAGCUAACCAAACACAUUACAAUGGUUGGAUGGUAAAUAUUGAAACACAGGUUCACAAAAACAGUUAAGACUAAACUAAACACUGGCUAUGCCUGAAUGUUUGUUUUCUUACUGAGUCCAUACGCAUUGCUGGAUCCAAAAGACAUGCUGUCCUUGUAGAAGCGGCGAUGGUGCUGUGAAUGGUGUCCGGGAGAGAUGCGCAGGCUGGGGUGUUCCCGUCUUAGCAGCGCGUUGUCGUCUGAUCCGCUGGUCUUUUCCAGGUGUAAAAGUUCGUUGCUGUUGUUCGAUGGUGAGUUUUGCAGGAGUAAACUGAUGUAGUGUUCCGCGUACACCAGUUUCCACUCGCUAUAGGCCACGAAGUUACCGCAAGGUAACUGGGUGUGUCGGUAGGCCUGGUAGUGCGCUGUGCAGCAUUCAGCCUCUGUCCGAGUCUCGGAGCAGAUGAGCUGAAGCGAAUGGCCAAAAAGGGUGCGUCCAAGAGAAGAAGCAGAAGAGGCAGAAGAAGCAGAUCCCAAGAACGUGUCUUGCUCUUAUGCGGGACCGUUUAUUGCUCCCGCCAUUACGGGAUUGGCUGAACCAAGUUAGACGUCAUUCGUGGUGGACGUCGCAGAAUUUUCCUGUGGGAAUGUGGAAGUUGUAGUCCCUACAGUAGCCUUAAAAAAUAGUCUUUGUUGUGCUUUGGAGUAUCUAUACUCCAACUAUGUGUGCAAGGAGAUGAACGUUGCAAGGCACAACAGAAUUGUUGAUUUAUUAGUUAAAGGUACAGUAGGUAAUUUUGGACUAACAGUCAAGAGAGGAAUUGCAGCAACAAACACCAUCAAACUACAACACUGUUUAUCCUUCCUACGGUCUAUUGUUGAAGUUUGAUCAAAAUGCUUUUAUUAAAACUAUGAGUGUUUACAAUAAUGAUGAAGUUUGAUUUAAAUGCUGUUUAGUACUUCAAUGAUAAUGUAAACAAGUCAUAAUGUUUAAAGGAUAAUUUUAAUACUAUUAAAAUGAAUAAGUCAGCAUGA